AGGGGUAAAAUCCGUAGAGAUCAGAAGGAAUACCGAUUGCGAAGGCGAUCUACUGGAACAUUACUGACGCUGAGAUGCGAAAGCGUGGGGAGCAAACAGGAUUAGAUACCCUGGUAGUCCACGCCCUAAACGAUGCACACUAGUUGUUGCUAUGCUAGACAUAGCAGUAAUGCAGUUAACACAGUAAGUGUGCCGCCUGGGGAGUACGGUCGCAAGAUUAAAACUCAAAGGAAUAGACGGGGACCCGCACAAGCGGUGGAGCAUGUGGUUUAAUUCGACGAUACGCGAAGAACCUUACCUGGCCUUGACAUAGAAAGAAUUCUUUAGAGAUAGAGAAGUGCUAGUUUACUAGAACUUUCUUCUCAAGGUGCUUGCGACGGCUGUCGUCAGCUCGUGUCGUGAGAUGUUGGGUUAAGUCCCGCAACGAGCGCAACCCUCGUGUUUAGUUACUAACAGUUCGGCUGAGGACUCUAGACAGACUGCCUGGGUAACCAGGAGGAAGGUGGGGACGACGUCAAGUCAUCAUGGCCCUUACGGCCAGGGCUACACACGUGCUACAAUGGGGUAUACAAAGAGCCGCGAUACCGUGAGGUGGAGCAAAUCUCAUAAAAUAUCUCCCAGUUCGGAUAGUAGUCUGCAACUCGACUACUUGAAGUUGGAAUCGCUAGUAAUCGUAGAUCAGCAAUGCUACGGUGAAUACGUUCCCGGGUCUUGUACUCACCGCCCGUCACACCAUGGGAGUUGAUUUCAUUCGAAGCGGGGAUGCUAAAAUAGCUACCUUCCACAGUGGAAUUAGCGACUAGGGUGAAGUCGUAACAAGGUAACC
This 826-nucleotide ribosomal RNA is filed under the name uncultured bacterium. RNAcentral's name for it is "bacterial SSU rRNA". It matches the Rfam family "Bacterial small subunit ribosomal RNA", at positions 677 to 1501 of the family's 1533-position model. The record is from RNAcentral.